This 426-nucleotide ribosomal RNA is filed under the name uncultured bacterium. RNAcentral describes it as "partial 16S ribosomal RNA". It matches the Rfam family "Bacterial small subunit ribosomal RNA", at positions 354 to 796 of the family's 1533-position model. The record is from RNAcentral.
GUGAGGAAUUUUCCGCAAUGGGCGAAAGCCUGACGGAGCAAUGCCGCGUGAAGGAUGAAGGCCUAUGGGUUGUAAACUUCUUUUCUUAGAGAAGAAUAUUGACGGUAUCUGAGGAAUAAGCAUCGGCUAACUCUGUGCCAGCAGCCGCGGUAAGCCAGAGGAUGCAAGCGUUAUCCGGAAUGAUUGGGCGUAAAGCGUCUGUAGGUGGCUUCAAAAGUCUCCUGUCAAAGAUCAGGGCUUACCCAUGGGCCGGCAGGAGAAACUCUGAGGCUAGAGUUUGGUAGGGGCAUAGGGAAAUCCCGGUGGAGCGGUGAAAUGCGUAGAGAUCGGGAGGAACACCAAAGGCGAAAGCACUCUGCUGGGCCACAACUGACACUGAGAGACGAAAGCGAGGGGAGCAAAAGGGAUUAGAUACCCGAGUAGUCC